AGAGUUUGAUCAUGGCUCAGAAUGAACGCUGGCGGCGUGCUUAACACAUGCAAGUCGAGCGCGAAAGUGGCUUCGGCCAUGAGUAGAGCGGCGAACGGGUGAGUAACACGUGGAUAACCUGCCUAGAUGUGGGGGAUAACUUGGGGAAACCUAAGCUAAUACCGCAUGUCAUCGCGCGAUCUAGGUUUCGCGAUCAAAGGCCGCCUCUCCUUGGAAGCGGUCGCGUCUAGAGGGGUCCGCGGCUGAUUAGCUAGUUGGUGGGGUAACGGCCUACCAAGGCAACGAUCAGUAGCCGGCCUGAGAGGGUGAUCGGCCACACUGGAACUGAGACACGGUCCAGACUCCUACGGGAGGCAGCAGUGGGGAAUAUUGGACAAUGGGCGAAAGCCUGAUCCAGCAACGCCGCGUGGAGGAUGAAGGCCUUCGGGUUGUAAACUCCUGUCAGGUGGAACGAAAAGCCUGGCCGAACAAGCCAGGGCUAUGACGGUACCACCAGAGGAAGCCCCGGCUAACUCCGUGCCAGCAGCCGCGGUAAUACGGAGGGGGCGAGCGUUAUUCGGAAUUAUUGGGCGUAAAGGGCGCGUAGGCGGCCAAGCAAGUCAGGGGUGAAAUCCCUCGGCUCAACCGAGGAAUUGCCUCUGAAACUGCAUGGCUUGAGACCGGGAGAGGGGUGGAAUUCCCAGUGUAGCGGUGAAAUGCGUAGAUAUUGGGAGGAACACCAGUGGCGAAGGCGGCCACCUGGACCGGUUCUGACGCUGAUGCGCGAAAGUGUGGGGAGCAAACAGGAUUAGAUACCCUAGUAGUCC
Molecule: ribosomal RNA, 806 nt
Filed under: uncultured bacterium
Lineage: Bacteria
Description: bacterial SSU rRNA
Rfam family: Bacterial small subunit ribosomal RNA
Source: RNAcentral